GUCGGCCGGAGCGCCGAACUACCUUGACACGGUAGAGGUCACUGGUUCGAGUCCAGUAUCGCCCACCA
Molecule: transfer RNA, 68 nt
Filed under: Lipingzhangella halophila
Lineage: Bacteria; Bacillati; Actinomycetota; Actinomycetes; Streptosporangiales; Nocardiopsidaceae
Description: tRNA-Val
Source: RNAcentral